Molecule: ribosomal RNA, 479 nt
Filed under: uncultured Desulfobulbus sp.
Lineage: Bacteria; Pseudomonadati; Thermodesulfobacteriota; Desulfobulbia; Desulfobulbales; Desulfobulbaceae
Description: bacterial SSU rRNA
Rfam family: Bacterial small subunit ribosomal RNA
Source: RNAcentral
AGACGGGGCCGGCCGACAAGACGGUGGAGUAUGUGGUUUAAUUCGAUGCAACGCGAAGAACCUUACCUGGUCUUGACAUCCCGGAGACCCUUAGGAACUAGGGGGUGGCUUCCAUCUGGAAGAAUCUGGAGACAGGUGCUGCAUGGCUGUCGUCAGCUCGUGUCGUGAGAUGUUGGGUUAAGUCCCGCAACGAGCGCAACCCUUGCCUUUAGUUGCCAGCAGUUCGGCUGGGCACUCUAAAGGGACUGCCGGUGUUAAACCGGAGGAAGGUGGGGAUGACGUCAAGUCCUCAUGGCCUUUAUGACCAGGGCUACACACGUACUACAAUGGCCGAUACAAAGGGCAGCGACACUGCGAGGUGAAGCCAAUCCCGUAAAAUCGGUCUCAGUCCGGAUUGGAGUCUGCAACUCGACUCCAUGAAGUUGGAAUCGCUAGUAAUCGUGGAUCAGCAUGCCACGGUGAAUACGUUCCCGGGCCUU